Molecule: long non-coding RNA, 1013 nt
Filed under: Camelus dromedarius (Arabian camel)
Lineage: Eukaryota; Metazoa; Chordata; Mammalia; Artiodactyla; Camelidae
Description: lncRNA (ENSCDRG00005010947.1)
Source: RNAcentral
CUUGGACUGGGAGGUGGGCCCCGGCGUGGACCGAGUGCGGGGCGGCCGCGAGGACAGCGCAGCGAGGGGCACGGGCGCGGGUGGACGGCGGGGCCCGACCGCAGAGCCCCCGCCCCGGGCCACUACCCUCCAUCGGACUCCCGGCGAGUCCCCCAGAGUGCCUGCCUGCCCCUGACGUCCCCUCCCCGGCCCCUGGGGCAGACGACGUGGCCGCCCAGGGCGCAAGCCCCCCGCGCGGCGGGCGGGACAGGACCUCUGCGCCCCCUCGGGCGGCGACGCGGAGACGGCAGGGGGCGCGCUCCGCCACCGGGCGCCGCGGCUCAGGGUCUUGGGACCGUUUUCCUCCUCGGCAGACUCCAUUCACACUCUCUCCGGUCUCGGCACUGGCUCUUCCCCUUGUUCCUCACUCCCUCCUCCGUCGAGGACUCCCUUAGUUCCUUGCCCUGGCCUCUGUGGGUAAUUUCCUCGAGGGCCCACACUAUGCCAAGUACUUACCAUUCCUCUCACCUUUCUCCCUUCGUCUUCCUCCCAUCCUUUACAUUCUGUUCCUUCCUCCUACUCUUCCCUUUCCUGCCCUGCUUCUAUCCCUAUUCCUAUUUGAUUGUUCCUAUUUCUCAUUCCCUAUCCCAGUCUGCCUUAUUGUUUUUUCCCCCUCAUUUCUCGCCUAUAUCUGUACCUCUCUCUUGUCUGUCUGUCUAUCUCUGUCUCCCUCCCUUGCUCUCUCUCCCUCUCUUCCUCUAUUAAUUUCCCUGAUUGGCUCCCCGACUCCAGCGCAGCUGAUGAGCCCUAUUCAUUCCCGGGCCUGACACUCUCGACCUGCCCUGGCUGAUUGCUGGGGGCUGGCCCCAGGAGCGCUGAUGAGCCCCAAGGGUCAGCGGCGCUAAUUAUCCGCUAAUUGCGGGUGACUCUGCUCACCUCCCCCGUUCUCAGACACAGAAAUGGUGGCUCUUUUUACCCUCCCCCUCCUUCUGAUUCCCAGAAGUAGAGUUGUCAAUCUACAGGCAAAAGUCACG